CGCUAAUUUGUCUUAUCAACUUUCAUUUCUUAAUUAAGCUCACUAGAAAUUUGAAAACAAAUUUCCAAAGAGAGAUGUUGAAAUCAAAAGAGCAAAAAAGCCCAAGGCCGCCCCAAUUGCCCAGUACAAGCCCAAAUUGAUUGGAAUACUAAUUACAACUCGAAAAGGCCCAACCAUUAUGCAGGCACAUAACAUUCAGGAAUACAUUAAGAAAUGCCAACACUAACACAACCAUGCUCAUUCACAACCUGCAAGCAUUUACAUC
This 265-nucleotide long non-coding RNA is filed under the name Citrus maxima (pomelo). RNAcentral describes it as "long non-coding RNA (CMAX_LNC001156)". Lineage: Eukaryota; Viridiplantae; Streptophyta; Magnoliopsida; Sapindales; Rutaceae. The record is from RNAcentral.